UAGCUCAUGAAAGAGCCAAGCUCACUAUGAGCUGAGCUGAGUUGAGCGAGCUAGCUCAUUUUGACACCCCUAGUUACGCAGAUGUGGUCAAGCUGCAGACGAGGCUGUUAGACCGAGGACAUAAGCUGAUUACAACAAGCCAAAUCAUUACUACGAGAACAGAUCUGCCAUUCUCCGCCAACCAUUCAGAGCGAAGACUUUGAAUUGAAGUCUCAGUACUUUACACUC
This 228-nucleotide long non-coding RNA is filed under the name Brassica napus (rape). RNAcentral describes it as "long non-coding RNA (BNAP_LNC010677)". Lineage: Eukaryota; Viridiplantae; Streptophyta; Magnoliopsida; Brassicales; Brassicaceae. The record is from RNAcentral.